Molecule: long non-coding RNA, 217 nt
Filed under: Elaeis guineensis (African oil palm)
Lineage: Eukaryota; Viridiplantae; Streptophyta; Magnoliopsida; Arecales; Arecaceae
Description: long non-coding RNA (EGUI_LNC051756)
Source: RNAcentral
GUGUCUAGUAUUUUGGUCAGGGGGUUGGACGCAGACAUGUUUCCUAUAGAGAGUCAAAAAUUUCUAAUUAGAUUUUGUAAUCAGACUUAACCAAUUUGUUUAGGAGUUUUAUUUCUAAACAAAUUAGGCUCCCACUAUUUUCUCAGAUCCCUACACUCCCUAGGUAGAGAUGUGAAAAUCUCUGUGAUUAGUGAUUUCUAGUGGGUGGUGCGGNNNN